AAAAAGAUAAGCUAAUUAAGCUACUGGGCUCAUACCCCAUUCAUAAAGGUUCUAAUCCUUUUCUUUUUA
This 69-nucleotide transfer RNA is filed under the name Haematobia irritans irritans. RNAcentral describes it as "tRNA-Met". It matches the Rfam family "tRNA". From Rfam's summary of the family: Transfer RNA (tRNA) molecules are approximately 80 nucleotides in length. Their secondary structure includes four short double-helical elements and three loops (D, anti-codon, and T loops). Lineage: Eukaryota; Metazoa; Arthropoda; Insecta; Diptera; Muscidae. The record is from RNAcentral.